Molecule: long non-coding RNA, 262 nt
Filed under: Carica papaya (papaya)
Lineage: Eukaryota; Viridiplantae; Streptophyta; Magnoliopsida; Brassicales; Caricaceae
Description: long non-coding RNA (CPAP_LNC007587)
Source: RNAcentral
AAUUGUUCAUCACGAUUUGAUCUGGAUCGAUCACGUUUAAAGAAGGAAUAAAUCUCGACUGUUGAUUGCGUUUAAUCGCGACCGUCUAAUCGCGCCUGAGGAGGGAACAAAUAUGGACUGUCCAUGCAUAUGGGAAUGCAUUCGGGCAAUCUGAUCGCAGGCAUGUGGAUUACCAGCAUGGCCUCCCGCGUGGCACCGAAUCAGCGUGCCUUGCCACAUGGCGUGCUCCGGUUCGUUGAAGCUGCUGGCUGGGCAGUCCUAC